AUAAUCACCCAAAAAAAAACUAAUUUAAAAAUGAAGAUGUUGGGAGGUGGGGCGGCGUUUUUCUCCCAGGAGCUUGGCUGUUCCUUUUGCUCCUAAAAGCUGGAAGCCUCUGGGUGUAGGAAAACAGCAUCCAUUCCUUGAAAUAUGAAAAUAUCCAUAAAUAUUUUGUCUUCCAGAAUGCCUUCCCGAGGAGUUGGGCCUAGCAAUAUGGCAGGAAAUCCUGCAGAACGCUGCUGCUGCUGCUGCUGCUGAGCUCUGUUCCCAAGGAGGGCACGGUCCCUGCCCCGCUCUGCCUCCACCACUGCAGGCACUGAGCUUUCUCCACCCCACAAUUCCAACCCUGGAUUUUCCAAGAUGCUGCAGGAGGGAUUUGGGCUGCUGAGACCUUUGGGGAAAGCUGGAUGCUUUAAAGGCUUGGUCUAAACACAGCUGGAUGCUUGGAGAGGAAACUUGAGAGAAGUGGCAGGAGAAGUGGGGGAGCUGCUGGGAGGAGGAGCAGGGAGUUAUUUCUGAGGCUGAGCAUGUUUGCUGAUUGCUCUGGGUUUUUGGG
This 550-nucleotide long non-coding RNA is filed under the name Serinus canaria (Common canary). Its description in RNAcentral is "lncRNA (ENSSCAG00000008498.1)". Lineage: Eukaryota; Metazoa; Chordata; Aves; Passeriformes; Fringillidae. The record is from RNAcentral.